This 533-nucleotide long non-coding RNA is filed under the name Amborella trichopoda. Its description in RNAcentral is "long non-coding RNA (ATRI_LNC003719)". Lineage: Eukaryota; Viridiplantae; Streptophyta; Magnoliopsida; Amborellales; Amborellaceae. The record is from RNAcentral.
GGAAUUAUCACAAUUUAUGGGAUAUCAAUCCACAAAUAAACAUUUCACAACAAUACUAUAGUCAAUUGCAAAAAUGUCAAUUUUUAAAUAAUAAGGCAGUCAUUUGCACAUGAAUUUUACAAUGUCUAAAUAUUCAAAACAGUAGAAAUAAAUAUCACAAUUUUACUAAAAGCAGAAAUAUCACAUUUAUUUCUAACAAUAGAUAAGAAAAAUAAAUAAAUUUAUUUUUCAUAAUUUACAGCAUUCAAAAUUUCUAACAUAGAUAAAAUAUCACAAUUUUUAUUAAACAGAUUAUUUUUCAGGAAGAUGAUGUCACUUACUCACAAAUAUUUGAGAGGGAGCUUCCGAUAAAAAUUCGGCUUGAGAGAGGAGUUCACUGUGUUUCGACCAGAGAAAAAAUCUCAAAAGUUUUCUAAGGUAGGAGUCUUCACCUCUCUGAAUUUAAAUUCUACUAACAUAUUAUUUUUAUUCUUUUAUUAUGUUACAGGUGUGAGCGUUAGUUUACGCUUUAAACACCUCAAGCUUUUAUUACG